GACGAACGCUGGUGGCGUGCCUAAUACAUGCAAGUCGAACGCUGAAGGAGGAGCUUGCUUCUCUGGAUGAGUUGCGAACGGGUGAGUAACGCGUAGGUAACCUGCCUGGUAGCGGGGGAUAACUAUUGGAAACGAUAGCUAAUACCGCAUAAGAGUAGAUGUUGCAUGACAUUUGCUUAAAAGGUGCAAUUGCAUCACUACCAGAUGGACCUGCGUUGUAUUAGCUAGUUGGUGGGGUAACGGCUCACCAAGGCGACGAUACAUAGCCGACCUGAGAGGGGGAUCGGCCACACUGGGACUGGGACACGGCCCAGACUCCUACGGGAGGCAGCAGUAGGGAAUCUUCGGCAAUGGACGGAAGUCUGACCGAGCAACGCCGCGUGAGUGAAGAAGGUUUUCGGAUCGUAAAGCUCUGUUGUAAGAGAAGAACGAGUGUGAGAGUGGAAAGUUCACACUGUGACGGUAUCUUACCAGAAAGGGACGGCUAACUACGUG
RNAcentral lists this ribosomal RNA (495 nucleotides) under uncultured bacterium. Its description in RNAcentral is "partial 16S ribosomal RNA". It matches the Rfam family "Bacterial small subunit ribosomal RNA", at positions 28 to 507 of the family's 1533-position model. The record is from RNAcentral.